Molecule: ribosomal RNA, 257 nt
Filed under: uncultured Glomus
Lineage: Eukaryota; Fungi; Glomeromycota; Glomeromycetes; Glomerales; Glomeraceae
Description: partial 18S ribosomal RNA
Rfam family: Eukaryotic small subunit ribosomal RNA
Source: RNAcentral
AAGCUCGUAGUUGAAUUUCGGGAUCAGACUGUCGGUCGUGCCUCGGUACGCACUGGCAUUAUUGGUUCCUACCUUCUGAAGAACCGCGAUGUCAUUAAUUUGGUGUCGCGGGGAAUCAGGACUGUUACUUUGAAAAAAUUAGAGUGUUUAAAGCAGGCUUACGCUUGAAUACAUUAGCAUGGAAUAAUGAAAUAGGACGUUUGAUUCUAUUUUGUUGGUUUCUAGGAUCGACGUAAUGAUUAAUAGGGAUAGUUGGG